AGGAUGAACGCUAGCGGCAGGCUUAACACAUGCAAGUCGAGCGCUCCAGCAAUGGAGAGCGGCAAACGGGUGCGGAACACGUACACAAUCUACCCUCUACUGGGGAAUAGCCUUUCGAAAGGAAGAUUAAUACCCCAUAAAAUAGCAGUCAGGCAUCUGACAACUAUUAAAGUUCCGGCGGUAGGGGAUGAGUGUGCGUCCUAUUAGGUAGUUGGUAGGGUAACGGCCUACCAAGCCUACGAUAGGUAGCUGGUGUGAGAGCACGACCAGCCACACGGGAACUGAGACACGGUCCCGACUCCUACGGGAGGCAGCAGUGAGGAAUAUUGGUCAAUGGACGCAAGUCUGAACCAGCCAUGCCGCGUGGAGGAUGAAGGCCCUCUGGGUUGUAAACUUCUUUUAUAGGGAAGAACCUGAGUAUUCUACUCAGCCGACGGUACCUAACGAAUAAGCACCGGCUAACUCCGCGCCAGCAGCCGC
RNAcentral lists this ribosomal RNA (480 nucleotides) under uncultured bacterium. RNAcentral's name for it is "SSU rRNA". It matches the Rfam family "Bacterial small subunit ribosomal RNA", at positions 26 to 518 of the family's 1533-position model. The record is from RNAcentral.